CCUACGGGAGGCAGCAGUAGGGAAUAUUGGUCAAUGGGUGAGAGCCUGAACCAGCCAUGCCGCGUGCAGGAAGAAGGCCUUCUGGGUUGUAAACUGCUUUUGCCAGGGGAUAAAAAUACCUUGCGAGGUAAAUUGAAGGUACCUGGUGAAUAAGCCACGGCUAACUACGUGCCAGCAGCCGCGGUAAUACGUAGGUGGCAAGCGUUGUCCGGAUUUAUUGGGUUUAAAGGGUGCGUAGGCGGCCCUAUAAGUCAGUGCUGAAAUAUCCCAGCUUAACUGGGAGGGUGGCAUUGAUACUGCGGGGCUAGAGUACAGAUGAGGUAGGCGGAAUUGACGGUGUAGCGGUGAAAUGCUUAGAUAUCGUCAAGAACACCUAUAGCGAAGGCAGCUUACUAGGCUGUAACUGACGCUGAGGCACGAAAGUGUGGGGAUCAAACAGGAUUAGAUACCCUGGUAGUCCACACUGUAAACGUUGAUUACUCGCUGUGUGCGAUAUACAGUACGCGGCCAAGCGAAAGCGCUAAGUAAUCCACCUGGGGAGUACGCCGGCAACGGUGAAACUCAAAGGAAUUGACGG
This 577-nucleotide ribosomal RNA is filed under the name uncultured bacterium. RNAcentral's name for it is "bacterial SSU rRNA". It matches the Rfam family "Bacterial small subunit ribosomal RNA", at positions 338 to 916 of the family's 1533-position model. The record is from RNAcentral.